CUAAGGUCACAGAGCUCAUAAAAGCUGAGCUAGGCUUAAAUGUGGGCAGUCUGGCUCCAGAAUCACAGUUCCUGUCUCCACACUAUUUUGCCUCCCAUUACAGUGCUAGGUGACAUGCCAUUUCCUCUCCCCAACACUGUCUUCCUGGAUGAAUGGCAAGAUGGUGGUAGUGGUCAUGGAAGGUCAAUUGGGGAGGGCUCUUCUGCUCUCCAUUCCUGGCAUCUUCUGAAAUUGACAGGUGGUGGAUUGCCUCCUGGUGUUUACCUUGCUUCUCUCCUGACCUGUAGCUGAGAAAUUACAACUUGAGGACACAGUGCCAGCAAAAAAGCAGUGCCUGGAUAAAUUGCUUGAGAGAUUCCCUAAGGAGUGGGGUUGCCUUGGUCUAUUGGGGAAACAGCUAAUAUGGAGUGAUUCAUCCUGGCAGAGCCUCCCCCUGCCCACUUGUCCAGAGAAAAAGACUACAAAAUUGGGCUCUCAUUCCCGUAGUCAGACACAGGUCAGCUCAGGUAGCCAACAGACACAAGGAGUAUGAGCUCACAAGAAAUAACAAUGGGACAUCUGAGGAACAAAAGCACUAUAAAAUAAAGAUCCCAGCUGAGUGUAGUGGCACACGCCUGUAAUUCCAGCAGCUCAGGAAGCUGAGGCGGGAGGAUCACGAGUUCAAAGCCAGCUCAGCAAUGGCAAGUGAGCCCCUGUCUAAAUAAAAUACAAAAUAGGGCUGGGAAUGUGG
RNAcentral lists this long non-coding RNA (730 nucleotides) under Marmota monax (woodchuck). Lineage: Eukaryota; Metazoa; Chordata; Mammalia; Rodentia; Sciuridae. The record is from RNAcentral.